GUUACUAUAGCAAAGAGGAUACACCUGUUCCCAUUCCGAACACAGAAGUUAAGCUCUUUAGCGCUGAUGGUACUUGGGGGGCAACCUCCUGGGAGAGUAAGA
RNAcentral lists this ribosomal RNA (102 nucleotides) under human gut metagenome. The record is from RNAcentral.